AUUGAACGAUGGCGGCAGGCCUAACACAUGCAAGUCGAACGAGUGGCGGACGGGUGAGUAAUGUCUGGGAAACUGCCCGAUGGAGGGGGAUAACUACUGGAAACGGUAGCUAAUACCGCAUACCAUCGGAUGUGCCCAGAUGGGAUUAGCUAGUAGGUGGGGUAAAGGCUCACCUAGGCGACGAUCCCUAGCUGGUCUGAGAGGAUGACCAGCCACACUGGACAUGUGACACGGUCCAGACUCCUACGGGAGGCAGCAGUGGUGAAUAUUGCACAAUGGGCGCAAGCCUAAUGCAUCCAUACCGCGUGGAUGAAGAAGGCCUUCAGGUUGUAAAGUACUUUCAGCGGGGAGGCGUUACCCGCAGAAGAAGCACCGGCUAACUCCGUGCCAGCCGCCGCGGUAAUAC
Molecule: ribosomal RNA, 406 nt
Filed under: uncultured bacterium
Lineage: Bacteria
Description: partial 16S ribosomal RNA
Rfam family: Bacterial small subunit ribosomal RNA
Source: RNAcentral